Molecule: ribosomal RNA, 301 nt
Filed under: uncultured bacterium
Lineage: Bacteria
Description: partial 16S ribosomal RNA
Rfam family: Bacterial small subunit ribosomal RNA
Source: RNAcentral
CAGCCGCCGCGGUAAUACGGAGGGCGCGAGCGCUACCCGGAUUUACUGGGCGUAAAGGGCGUGUAGGCGGCCUGGGGCGUCCCAUGUGAAAGGCCACGGCUCAACCGUGGAGGAGCGUGGGAUACGCUCAGGCUAGAGGGUGGGAGAGGGUGGUGGAAUUCCCGGAGUAGCGGUGAAAUGCGCAGAUACCGGGAGGAACGCCGAUGGCGAAGGCAGCCACCUGGUCCACUUCUGACGCUGAGGCGCGAAAGCGUGGGGAGCAAACCGGAUUAGAUACCCGCGUAGUCCCUGUCUCUUAUAA